GCGCCCACCCAGAACCUCCUGCUUCUGGGCACGCGCUCACCCAGAACCCCCCGCGCCACGGCGCGCGCCCACCUAAAACCUCCCGCGUCUGGGCACGCGCCCACCCAGAACCUCCCGCGUCUGGGCACGCGCCCACCCAGAACCUCCCGCGUCACGGCGCGCGCCCACCCAGAAUCUCCCGCGUCACGUCAGGCGCCCACCCAGAACCUCCUGCGGAGUUUCCCUUGUGCUCACCCCCGACGAUUCCCGUCCGACCUCUACGCAAGAACUGUCAUCAUCCUGUGUCAGAGCUGCCCCCGAAUGCUGGCUCUGUGCACACCGGGACUGAACGAUUGUCGUUGUCCUCGCAGCCGGUGAUCUCCAGGUUUUGUAGGACCUGUUUGGGAGUGGCUAACGCUUGGUUGCUUGCUCUGUGCCAGGUCCGGCCCAGAGGUCAGCAGAGAUCCUCGCUGUUUCUUCCUGACCCGACACCAUAGGCCGUUUUCCCACUGACUGAAUUCUUUACUUUAAAUAAAAAAGUUUACUUAAUUUUUAA
Long non-coding RNA from Hyaena hyaena (striped hyena), 535 nucleotides. RefSeq lists it as uncharacterized. The transcript is spliced from 2 exons. The record is from RefSeq and is a predicted model, not a curated record. NCBI's taxonomy places the organism in Eukaryota, Metazoa, Chordata, Mammalia, Carnivora, Hyaenidae.